GCCUACGGGGCGCAGCAGUGAGGAAUAUUGGUCAAUGGCCGGAAGGCUGAACCAGCCAAGUCGCGUGAGGGACGACUGCCCUAUGGGUUGUAAACCUCUUUUCUAAGGGAGGAAUAAAUGCUACGUGUAGCAUGAUGCCUGUACCUUAUGAAUAAGCAUCGGCUAACUCCGUGCCAGCAGCCGCGGUAAUACGGAGGAUGCGAGCGUUAUCCGGAUUUAUUGGGUUUAAAGGGUGCGCAGGCGGGAGAUCAAGUCAGCGGUAAAAUGUCGGGGCUCAACCCCGGCCGGCCGUUGAAACUGGGUUU
Molecule: ribosomal RNA, 305 nt
Filed under: uncultured bacterium
Lineage: Bacteria
Description: bacterial SSU rRNA
Rfam family: Bacterial small subunit ribosomal RNA
Source: RNAcentral